Molecule: ribosomal RNA, 253 nt
Filed under: uncultured bacterium
Lineage: Bacteria
Description: partial 16S ribosomal RNA
Rfam family: Bacterial small subunit ribosomal RNA
Source: RNAcentral
UACGAAGGGGGCGAGCGUUGUUCGGAAUUACUGGGCGUAAAGGGCGCGCAGGCGGCCCUUGAAGUCAGGCGUGAAAGCCUUGAGCUCAACUCAAGAAAUGCAUUCAGGACUGGGCGACUAGAGGACCGGAGAGGAUAGUGGAAUUCCCAGUGUAGUGGUGAAAUACGUAGAGAUUGGGAAGAACACCAGUGGCGAAGGCGGCUAUCUGGACGGUUUCUGACACUAAGACUCGAAAGCGUGGGGAGCAAACAGG